RNAcentral lists this ribosomal RNA (116 nucleotides) under Pteropus alecto (black flying fox). Lineage: Eukaryota; Metazoa; Chordata; Mammalia; Chiroptera; Pteropodidae. The record is from RNAcentral.
GUCUAUGGCCAUGCCACCCUGAACAAGCCUGAUGUCUGAUCUCGGAAGCUAAGCAGGGUCGGGCCUGGUUAGUACUUGGAUGGGAGACCACCUAGGAAGACCAGGUGCUGUGGGUA